CCUACGGGAGGCAGCAGUGAGGAAUAUUGGUCAAUGGCCGGAAGCCUGAACCAGCCAAGCCGCGUGAAGGACGAAGGUGCCAAGCAUUGUAAACUUCUUUUGUCAAGGGACAAAAUCCGGCUCGAGAGCCUGACCGAGUGUACUUGAAGAAAAAGCAUCGGCUAACUCCGUGCCAGCAGCCGCGGUAAUACGGAGGAUGCGAGCGUUAUCCGGAUUUAUUGGGUUUAAAGGGUGCGUAGGCGGGCUGUUAAGUCCGCGGGAAAAGCCCGUGGCUUAACCCCCGAAGUGCGGUUGAAACUGGCUGUCUUGAGAUGGGGAGAGGUAUGCGGAAUGCGUAGUGUAGCGGUGAAAUGCUUAGAUAUUGCGCAGAACUCCGAUUGCGAAGGCAGCAUACCGGAGGCGAUCUGACGCUGAGGCACGAAAGCGUGGGUAUCGAACAGGAUUAGAUACCCGGGUAGUC
RNAcentral lists this ribosomal RNA (460 nucleotides) under uncultured bacterium. Its description in RNAcentral is "partial 16S ribosomal RNA". It matches the Rfam family "Bacterial small subunit ribosomal RNA", at positions 338 to 795 of the family's 1533-position model. The record is from RNAcentral.